UUGCGGUUAAAAAGCUCGUAGUUGGAUCUCGGCAAGUAGAGGGCGGUAUGCUUCGUAGCAUUACUGCCCUAUUACUUGUAGUUUUGCCAGAGGUUCCUGGGUGCUCUUAAUCGAGUGUCUAGGGAUGCUGGCAGGUUUACUUUGAAAAAAUUAGAGUGCUCAAAGCAGGCUAUUACGCUUGAAUAUUCGUGCAUGGAAUAAUAGAAUAGGAAGUUGUUUCUAUUUUGUUGGUUUUCGGAAAUCGACUUAAUGAUUAAUAGGGACAGUCGGGGGCAUUUGUAUUCAAACGACAGAGGUGAAAUUCUUGGACCGUUUGAAGACAAACUACUGCGAAAGCAUUUGCCAAGAAUGUUUUCAUUAAUCAAGAACGAAAGUUAGAGGUUCGAAGGCGAUUAGAUACCGCCCUAGUUCUAACCAUAAACGAUGCCAGCUAGCGAUCUGAGGACGUUUUUUUUGUAGACUCCUCAGGAAGCUUCCGGGAAACCAAAGCGUGUGGGUUCCGGGGGAAGUAUGGUUGCAAAGCUGAAACCUUAAAAGGAAUUGACGGAA
RNAcentral lists this ribosomal RNA (549 nucleotides) under uncultured marine eukaryote. RNAcentral's name for it is "SSU rRNA". It matches the Rfam family "Eukaryotic small subunit ribosomal RNA", at positions 613 to 1161 of the family's 1831-position model. The record is from RNAcentral.